This 234-nucleotide unclassified non-coding RNA is filed under the name Hevea brasiliensis (rubber tree). The record is from RNAcentral. Lineage: Eukaryota; Viridiplantae; Streptophyta; Magnoliopsida; Malpighiales; Euphorbiaceae.
GGGAACUAUAGUUACUGGGGUCGUAGAGCUUUUGAGCGACAUUUCAAGGAAUGGCGUCAUCAGCAUGGAAUGCGUUGCCUUGGUAUUCCAAAUACAAAGAACUUUAACGAAAUCACAUCAAUUGAGGAGGCAAAAGACUUGUGGAAAAGAAUACAAGAACGACAAGGAGUUAACAAGUGGCGACCAGACCUGGAAGAAGAAUACGAAGAUAAGGAGGGUAACAUUUACAAUAAG